RNAcentral lists this non-coding RNA (177 nucleotides) under Zetaproteobacteria bacterium CG1_02_53_45. RNAcentral describes it as "6S RNA". It matches the Rfam family "6S / SsrS RNA". Rfam says of the family: E. coli 6S RNA was the first non coding RNA to be sequenced, but its function was unknown until recently. The record is from RNAcentral. Lineage: Bacteria; Pseudomonadati; Pseudomonadota; Candidatius Mariprofundia.
GCGCCCCUGCGUUGAUCGAACGGCAUCAUGUUGCCUGAGCCGAUACUUGUCGAAUGGGAGCUUACCUACUCUGGCUGUGAGCAUCUCCUGAUGGAGAUACCUGAAGCCGGGGUGCGGCGCCCACCUCUUGUUAGAGGGUUCGACGACUUUUUGCCUUUAUACCAGCGCGGGGGCGCC